AUUUUAAGCUCCAAAUACAGAACUCAAGAGAAACAUCAAAAGGAAAACCAAGAUUAUCUACGGUUUACCUACUGGCAAGAGUUUCCUGGUAUGCAGAAAAUGAAACAUCCUAGCAGCCAACACUUGCUUAGUCAAUAUUCAUUACAAAAAUAAGAAGUCAGCAUACUUGUACAAUAUAAUAGUCUCGACAUUUGGCUAUGCUCUUCAAGGUAACCACUGUGCAGGGGAUGAAGAUGACCAACAGUUUCAAUGACAGUAAUACCUAUACUUCUAGAAAUGUCCACUUCUGAGGCCCAGGGCUGAUAAGGGUGAUUGAACACAGGAAAAGGCAGAACACAAGUCUGGGACAAACCCAACCAAAGUACAGUGACACUGAAUAUGGGCUCUCAAUUAUGAACUGUGUAUAUAUCAUUCAAGGAUCAACCCAGGUGUUUCCAGAGGAUUACCAGCAGAGGACAAGUGAUGAGGUCUUGUGGAUUUGAGAAUAUGAAUAUGAGAGAACUCUUAAAGGAAAGAAGAUGCAGGGAUGCGAGCUCAUGGACUGUAAGGCUGACCGGUCCAUAGGAUGUUGUGAAAUCAAAAAAUAUUGGAAUUAUUCUCCGAAAUUGUGUGCUUUGGGCAGUCUGAUAGAAGGUCCACAGCAAACAAACAAACUUUGAAGAUUCUGCUUUAUGCUGACAGACACUUUGCCUACAAGAUUUCAUCCUCUGUUUCUUCUAUGUCAUAUAAAAGAAUUUCUCAGAAAAUCCUUGAAAUUUCACAUGGUGAAAAGAAAGUGGGUAUUUCUCCACAGUGAGAAUCAGUUAAUCAAUAAACAUGUAGCCAUACUUGUUUUUAUGUGAGUCACUGUACUAAAUGAGGAAGAUAGUCCGAAUGUCUAUUCUAAGAGGGAGGAUGAAAAGUACAUAAAUUAGAAUAUGCCAGAUAAAUACAGAGUAUAUAAAAUAACAUCAGAAUGCAUAAUUCUAAUGGAACAAUAAGACUAUCAGAAGAGU
Sarcophilus harrisii (Tasmanian devil) is the source of this 995-nucleotide long non-coding RNA. RefSeq lists it as uncharacterized. The record is from RefSeq and is a predicted model, not a curated record. The transcript has 5 exons. NCBI's taxonomy places the organism in Eukaryota, Metazoa, Chordata, Mammalia, Dasyuromorphia, Dasyuridae.